GUGGGGAAUUUUGGACAAUGGGCGCAAGCCUGAUCCAGCAAUGCCGCGUGCAGGAAGAAGGCCUUCGGGUUGUAAACUGCUUUUGUACGGAACGAAAAGGUCUGGGUUAAUACCCUGGGCUCAUGACGGUACCGUAAGAAUAAGCACCGGCUAACUACGUGCCAGCAGCCGCGGUAAUACGUAGGGUGCGAGCGUUAAUCGGAAUUACUGGGCGUAAAGCGUGCGCAGGCGGUUUUGUAAGACAGGCGUGAAAUCCCCGGGCUCAACCUGGGAAUGGCGCUUGUGACUGCAAAGCUGGAGUGCGGCAGAGGGGGAUGGAAUUCCGCGUGUAGCAGUGAAAUGCGUAGAUAUGCGGAGGAACACCGAUGGCGAAGGCAAUCCCCUGGGCCUGCACUGACGCUCAUGCACGAAAGCGUGGGGAGCAAACAGGAUUAGAUACCCGUGUAGUCC
RNAcentral lists this ribosomal RNA (450 nucleotides) under uncultured bacterium. RNAcentral's name for it is "partial 16S ribosomal RNA". It matches the Rfam family "Bacterial small subunit ribosomal RNA", at positions 354 to 796 of the family's 1533-position model. The record is from RNAcentral.